CCUACGGGAGGCAGCAGUAGGGAAUCUUCCACAAUGGGCGAAAGCCUGAUGGAGCAACGCCGCGUGGGUGAAGCAGGUCUUCGGAUCGUCAAACCCUGUUGUUAGAGAAGAAAGUGCGUGAGAGUAACUGUUCACGUUUCGACGGUAUCUAACCAGAAAGCCACGGCUAACUACGUGCCAGCAGCCGCGGUAAUCCGUAGGUGGCAAGCGUUAUCCGGAUUUAUUGGGCAUAAAGGUAACGCAGGCGGUCUUUUAAAUCUGAUGUGAAAGCCUUCGGCUUAACCGGAGGAGUGCAUUGGAAACUGGGAGACUUGAGUGAAGAAGAGGAGAGUGGAACUCCAUGUGUAGCGGUGAAAUGCGUAGAUAUAUGGAAGAACACCAGUGGCGAAAGCGGCUCUCUGGGCUGUAACUGACGCUGAGGUUCGAAAGCGUGGGUAGCAAACAGGAUUAGAUACCCCAGUAGUC
RNAcentral lists this ribosomal RNA (465 nucleotides) under uncultured bacterium. Its description in RNAcentral is "partial 16S ribosomal RNA". It matches the Rfam family "Bacterial small subunit ribosomal RNA", at positions 338 to 795 of the family's 1533-position model. The record is from RNAcentral.